CCUACGGGAGGCAGCAGUGGGGAAUAUUGCACAAUGGGCGCAGGCCUGAUGCAGCCAUGCCGCGUGUGUGAAGAAGGCCUUCGGGUUGUAAAGCACUUUCAGCGGGGAGGAAGGCGGUGAGGUUAAUAACCUCAUCGAUUGACGUUACCCGCAGAAGAAGCACCGGCUAACUCCGUGCCAGCAGCCGCGGUAAUACGGAGGGUGCAAGCGUUAAUCGGAAUUACUGGGCGUAAAGCGCACGCAGGCGGUCUGUCAAGUCGGAUGUGAAAUCCCCGGGCUCAACCUGGGAACUGCAUUCGAAACUGGCAGGCUAGAGUCUUGUAGAGGGGGGUAGAAUUCCAGGUUUAGCGGUGAAAUGCGUAGAGAUCUGGAGGAAUACCGGUGGCGAAGGCGGCCCCCUGGACAAAGACUGACGCUCAGGUGCGAAAGCGUGGGGAGCAAACAGGAUUAGAUACCCGGGUAGUC
RNAcentral lists this ribosomal RNA (465 nucleotides) under uncultured Klebsiella sp. Its description in RNAcentral is "bacterial SSU rRNA". It matches the Rfam family "Bacterial small subunit ribosomal RNA", at positions 338 to 795 of the family's 1533-position model. Lineage: Bacteria; Pseudomonadati; Pseudomonadota; Gammaproteobacteria; Enterobacterales; Enterobacteriaceae. The record is from RNAcentral.